This 200-nucleotide ribosomal RNA is filed under the name uncultured bacterium. RNAcentral describes it as "partial 16S ribosomal RNA". It matches the Rfam family "Bacterial small subunit ribosomal RNA", at positions 8 to 220 of the family's 1533-position model. The record is from RNAcentral.
AGAGUUUGAUCCUGGCUCAGAUUGAACGCUGGCGGCAUGCCUAACACAUGCAAGUCGAACGGGAGUAGCAAUACUCUAGUGGCGGACGGGUGAGGAAUACGUAGGAAUUUGCCCUUAAGUGGGGGAUAACCCGGGGAAACCCGGAUUAAUACCGCAUGAUCUCGGAAGAGCAAAGCAGGGGAUCGCAAGACCUUGCGCUU